This 2468-nucleotide long non-coding RNA is filed under the name Homo sapiens (human). RNAcentral's name for it is "HSALNT0150765". Lineage: Eukaryota; Metazoa; Chordata; Mammalia; Primates; Hominidae. The record is from RNAcentral.
ACAAUAUUCUUCCUACUCCUGUAUUUCCAUCUGACCAUUGGUACAAUUAUGAAGCUAUUAGAACUUCUAUUCAAAAGAAGGAUUUUAUUUGAAGCCAUGCACUUGUGAAAGGAAAAUAACUUGGGCCCCCAAACUCACGAAGCUAAAGGGAAAAUUCAUGUGGGGAACUGCUUAGGGCAAACCUGCCUCCCAUUCUAUUCAAAGUCACCCCUCUGCUCACUGAGAUAAAUGCAUAUCUGAUUGCCUUCUUUAGAAAGGCUCAUCAGAAACUCAAAAGAAUGCAACCAAUUGUCUCUCACCUAUCUGUGACUUGGAAGCCCCCUUCCCGCUUUGAGUCUUUCUGCCUUUGCUUGGAGUUGUCCCACCUUUCUAGACUGAAUCAAUGUAUUUCUUACAAAUAUUGAUUGAUGUUCUCAUGACUCCCUAAAAUGUAUAAAACCAAGCUGUGCCUCGACCACCUUGUGCACAUGUCAUCAGGAUCUCCUGAGGCUGUGUCACAGGCGCAUCCUCAACUUUGGCAAAAUAAACUUUCUAAAUUAACUGACAUCUGUCUCAGAUUUUCUGGGUCCACACACUGGACAAAACAGAAGUGAACAAAAUAGCCGAAGUUCCCAAUUGUGUUCCUAUGGUGGGAGUAGGGCAGCAAUGGAGACGGAAAGCAAACAAGUAAAUGAAGAAAGAAAAUAUCACUGAGAUGUGCUAAGGGGAGAAUUGAAAGAGGGUGAUGAGGUUGAGUAUAAGGAGCUACUUCAGAUAGGUGGUGUAGCAACCCUGGUUCCAGGAAGAAAAACAGAGGCAAGUCAAGUAUUCCAGGAAUAUUGGGUGGUGUGAAUGUGGGAGGAGUUGGAGAGUGAAGGCCUGAAAAGCUUCAGCUCUAGAAUCAGAGAAACUCUCUGCACUUUCACCUGGAAAAGCUGGAACUCAAAGCGAAGUUCAAGAAGUAGCACAAUACUAGCUCUUUGAGUUGGAUUGUGAAGUGUGUCCGUGAGAGUGGCCUUGUCUUACACUCACGACCUCCCAAUAAUAGUGACUUCUGCCUUCCAUAUCUUGCUUGAACUCCUGUCCUUGGCAAACCCUAAUCUAGAAGCAUACAGAAAAGGGGACUCUGGGAAACAUAGUUCUCAUCCUCAGAUGGGCCUUGUGGCUUGGUGCUGAGCUGAUAGCUGACAAUUUAACACUGAUGAUCAGAAUGACAUUUAAGCUGAGGUCUAAAUAACAAGAAGGGGUCAGCUUUCCAAAGAUCACAGGGAGGAACAUUCCAGACAGAGAGAGUAACCAGCACAAAGUCCCUGAAGCUAGAAAGAGCAUCUUGAGUUCUCCAGAAACAUCAAGAAGGCCAGUAUGCGUGGAGCUGAGUGCAUGAGAGGAAGACUGAUGGGAGAUGCUGUUGGAGAGGUAAGCAGAGGCUGAGUCAUACGGGGUCCUAUAAGAUCUAGUAGGUCCAUUAGGGAUUUAUGUGCCUGACUGGCUUGUGUCUGUGUCUGAGCCCCGUGGAUAAGGUGUUUGUGGACAGAAAGCUCACUGAGCUGUUUAGAAAGAGGGGCUUGGUGAGAUUUAGGGACCCAGACUUUUCUGCCUCAGGCAGUAGACAGUGCUAUGAAGCAGAGAGGGGCACUCACCUUAUACUCCCCAGAACACAACAGAGUUUUGCAGCAUGGAGAGGUUAGGGGACACAGUGCUGCCCUGGAGCCUGGAGGAAAGGACAUUUGGGAGCAUCCAGAGACAUUUACCCUGGGAAGGAUGUCCACUCUUGUCCAGUGGUGAAGAGCCACAGUGUAAGAAUAGAGGUGCUCUAGUAGGUUUGAGUUGUCAACUGACAGAUGAAUUCAGGAACAGAUGUGAGACCCUCAUCCUGCAGCCAGAAAUAACAGGAUGAACAAUAGAACAGACUUGGAGAGGGGACAUGAAGGUGAAAUAUGAGUCAGUAAAUGUUAAGGUGAUCCUAUUUCCCUUGAAGCCUGGGUGAAAACCAUGUGGAACCUCAGAUUGCAUUGGCUAGGCCCUUGCUUGAAUGCAUUCAGAAAGUUAAGGGAUAUUCAUUUUCUUUGGGGAAUCCAUACAGUUAGUGAUUUCAUUCCCAAUGUACAUACAUGCUUUACUGAAAUGACUAGGUUGCUUGGAAUUUUUUAUCAGGCAUACUUUCAAACCCAAAAGCUAUAAUUUUAGGCAUUUCAGGUCUCCCAACAAAAGUACUGGCCAAGGUUGAUCAAAUACAGGUUGGUCUAUGCCCUGUGGUGACAUUUGUGGGAUAACAAGAUGAUUCUAAUGUCCCUUGAACAUGUCUCCUUCGCAUUGUCUGAAUGCCAUGAUGGAGAGUUGGUUGGCCUGUUAGUGUGACUGAACCAAGUGCCCGCAGUGAUAGCUGCUCUGGAUGCUCCCUAAGUUAAUUUCUUUACAUUUUGAUCUCACUUCCACAGUUCCCUGCAGGUGCUUCUUGAGAUCACCUCCCAAAUAAAUUACUUGCACAG